RNAcentral lists this microRNA (20 nucleotides) under Eptesicus fuscus (big brown bat). RNAcentral describes it as "efu-miR-9229a". Lineage: Eukaryota; Metazoa; Chordata; Mammalia; Chiroptera; Vespertilionidae. The record is from miRBase by way of RNAcentral.
UCACUGAGUCUGCCCCCUAA